This 410-nucleotide ribosomal RNA is filed under the name Pneumocystis sp. M62. RNAcentral's name for it is "SSU rRNA". It matches the Rfam family "Bacterial small subunit ribosomal RNA", at positions 928 to 1358 of the family's 1533-position model. Lineage: Eukaryota; Fungi; Ascomycota; Pneumocystomycetes; Pneumocystales; Pneumocystaceae. The record is from RNAcentral.
CCCUUUAGACGGUCACAGAGAUCAGCAGUGAAGCAUGUUGUUUAAUUCGAUAACCCACGACAAAUCUUACCACUUCUUGCAUAAUAGAAUUUAAUUUCUAUUACAGGUGUUGCAUGGCUGUCUUUAGUUCGUGUUGUGAAAUGUUAGGUUUAUUCCGAUAACGAACGCAAUCCUUAUCUUUAAUUCUAUUCUUAAAGAAGUAUCUUUCGACAAGAAAGAAUAAUUAGGAUGAAGACAAGUCCUCAUGACCCUUAUGGAGUGGGCUACAGACGUGCCACAAAGAUUUCUACAAAAGGAAGCAAAGAUGUUAAGUCUGAGCGAAUCCCUAAAAGAAAUUGAAGUACGAAUAAGAAUCUGGAACUCGAUUCUUUGAAAAAGGAAUUGCUAGUAAUCGUUCAAGGGCGAAUUCG